UUUUAGUCCUUCUCCUAUCCCAAAAGAUUUUCUUCAUUAGGAGCAUAUAUAUUUUCUUGUUAUGUGGUUUCCAACCAUCGUGUUCUACAACCAAUCUAUACAUGUCUCUCCUCAAGUUACUGCUAUGAAUCAUCUAACUUACUGCUAUGAGGCUAAGUUAUCUGUGAUUACAUUUCAUGUCUCAAUGACCCAGAUUCAGUUCCAAAUAAACAUGUUGAUCCUUUAAGUGCAAAGAGGACACUUCGAAUAAAUCUCUUAUUCAAGUGAUCAAUUCCAUGAUUUGGGGUCAAGGAUGUAUGCCCACAGUCAUGUGAGUUCUCUUACUUCUG
RNAcentral lists this long non-coding RNA (329 nucleotides) under Cicer arietinum (chickpea). RNAcentral's name for it is "long non-coding RNA (CARI_LNC003416)". Lineage: Eukaryota; Viridiplantae; Streptophyta; Magnoliopsida; Fabales; Fabaceae. The record is from RNAcentral.